Molecule: long non-coding RNA, 351 nt
Filed under: Nicotiana benthamiana
Lineage: Eukaryota; Viridiplantae; Streptophyta; Magnoliopsida; Solanales; Solanaceae
Description: long non-coding RNA (NBEN_LNC017765)
Source: RNAcentral
ACGUACAGGCAGUGAACUACUAGGAAAGGUUACCAUGUUUUGACUAAACUUAAGCCUAAAAAUAUGAUGAAUUAAAGCGAGGACUUAGCUUUUAGUUCAGACUCUGAAAUUUCCAUGAAUUAAUUCCGAACCGUAGCUUCACUUUUGGAGAGUUGCAAAGACACUUGAGGGACUCUGACGGUGGUUUCAAGGUAUGAGUGGUGAAAGGCCUGAGGUGGUGUGUUUUGGGUGGUUUGGUGGUUGGUGAGAUUCUGGCCAGGUUUUCAAACUAAUAUCUGAGGUGUUUGGUGCUGAUUCGAGGCAAGGUACUUACAAAUCUAGGGUGGUGGGGCUAGAGGAACCUAGGGUGUU